UACGGAGGAUGCGAGCGUUAUCCGGAUUUAUUGGGUUUAAAGGGUGCGUAGGCGGAAUAUCAAGUCAGCGGUAAAAUUGCGGGGCUCAACCUCGUCGAGCCGUUGAAACUGGCUGGCUUGAGUUGGGGAAAGGCAGGCGGAAUGCGCGGUGUAGCGGUGAGAUGCUUAGAUAUCGCGCAGAACCCCGAUUGCGAAGGCAGCGUACCGGCUCCACACUGACGCUGAGGCACGAAAGCGUGGGUAUCGAACAGG
RNAcentral lists this ribosomal RNA (252 nucleotides) under uncultured Bacteroidales bacterium. RNAcentral describes it as "partial 16S ribosomal RNA". It matches the Rfam family "Bacterial small subunit ribosomal RNA", at positions 524 to 776 of the family's 1533-position model. The record is from RNAcentral. Lineage: Bacteria; Pseudomonadati; Bacteroidota; Bacteroidia; Bacteroidales.